GAGGGCGGGGGCCCGGGACCUGGGGCCGCCGGGCCUAACCUCGACCUCGGCCGAGCGGGUUCCACCCGGCCGCGCAGCCCGGCCGCGAGCCCUCCCUCCCCGUCCCCGCCCUGGCGCCCGGCGCGGGCGGCUCGCAGCGGCGGGGCCCGCAGGCGGCCAUGGCGGCGGGCGCGGGGGCCAGGCCGGCGCCGCGCUGGCUGCGGGCGCUGGCGGAGCCGCUGAGCGCGGCGCAGCUGCGGCGGCUGGAGGAGCACCGCUACAGCGCCGCGGGGGUGUCGGUGCUGGAGCCGCCGCUGCAGCGCUACUGGGCCUGGCUGCUCCAGUGGGUCCCGCUGUGGCUCGCCCCCAACUCCAUCACCCUGCUGGGCCUCGUCGUCAACCUGCUCACCACGCUGCUGCUCAUCGCCUACUGCCCCACGGCCACCGAGGAGGCACCAUACUGGACAUACCUACUAUGUGCACUCGGGCUCUUUAUCUACCAGUCCCUGGAUGCUAUUGACGGGAAACAAGCCAGAAGAACAAAUUCUUGUUCUCCUUUAGGGGAACUUUUUGACCAUGGUUGUGACUCUCUUUCCACGGUAUUGAUGGCAGUUGGAGCUUCAAUUGCUGUGCGCUUAGGAACUCAUCAUGAUUGGUUGUUUUUCUGCUGUUUUAUUGGGAUGUUCUUAUUUUAUUGUGCUCAUUGGCAGACUUACGUUUCGGGUGUGUUGAGGUUUGGAAAAGUGGAUGUAAAUGAAAUUCAAGUAGGUUUAAUGGUCAUCUUUGUGUUGUCUACAUUUGGAGGAGCAACAAUGUGGGACUAUACGAUACCCAUUCUAGAAGUAAAAUUGAAGAUCUUCCCAGUUCUUGGAGUUGUAGGUGGAGCAAUUUUUUCCUGCUCAAAUUAUUUCCAUGUUAUCCUCCAUGGUGGAGUUGGCAAGAAUGGAUCCACUAUAGCAGGCACCAGUGUCUUGUCACCUGGACUUCAUAUAGGAAUAAUUAUUAUACCGGCAAUAAUGAUCUAUAAAAAGUCAGCAACUAAUGUGUUUGAAAAGCAUCCUUGUCUUUAUACGCUAAUGUUUGGAUGUGUCUUUGCUAAAGUUGCACAAAAAUUGGUGAUAGCUCACAUGACUAAAAGUGAACUGUAUCUUCAAGACACUGCCUUUUUGGGCCCAGGUCUUUUAUUUUUAGACCAGUACUUUAAUAAUUUUGUAGACGAAUAUGUUGUUCUAUGGAUAGCAAUGGUCAUUUCUUCAUUUGAUAUGAUUAUGUACUUUAGUGCUUUGUGCCUGCAAAUUUCAAGACACCUUCAUCUAAGUAUCUUCAAGAUUUCAUGUCACCAAGCACCUGAACAGGUUCACAAGCAUAUUGACUAAUAACCCAAGGAAAAAAGGAGAAGCAGUUAGGGGAACCUAGGAGUGAAGGAAAUCCCCUUUUGCAGGAGGUUCAAGUUCUUCCUUCCAAGAACCAUCAGAGUAACAUGGACUGAAGAGACUUUCGAACAAUUGCCAUCUCCUGCUGCUGCUGUUCAUGAAAGGAGAUAUUAAACAUUUGUUUAAUUUUUAGAUAAGUGUUAACCAAUUUCAACAAAUAAAACAUUUCAGUGCUUAAAACAUUAA
This is an RNA transcript of Eptesicus fuscus (big brown bat), 1598 nucleotides long. It is a transcript of the gene named choline phosphotransferase 1, with no coding region annotated. NCBI's taxonomy places the organism in Eukaryota, Metazoa, Chordata, Mammalia, Chiroptera, Vespertilionidae. The record is from RefSeq and is a predicted model, not a curated record. The transcript is spliced from 9 exons.